Molecule: ribosomal RNA, 450 nt
Filed under: uncultured bacterium
Lineage: Bacteria
Description: bacterial SSU rRNA
Rfam family: Bacterial small subunit ribosomal RNA
Source: RNAcentral
AGUUUGAUCAUGGCUCAGAAUGAACGCUGGCGGCAGGCCUAACACAUGCAAGUCGAACGAGGUAGCAAUACCUAGUGGCGGACGGGUGAGUAACACGUGGGAACGUACCCUUUGCUACGGAAUAGCCCUGGGAAACUGGGAGUAAUACCGUAUGAGCCCGAGAGGGGAAAGAUUUAUCGGCAAAGGAUCGGCCCGCGUUGGAUUAGGUAGUUGGUGGGGUAAUGGCCUACCAAGCCGACGAUCCAUAGCUGGUUUGAGAGGAUGAUCAGCCACACUGGGACUGAGACACGGCCCAGACUCCUACGGGAGGCAGCAGUGGGGAAUCUUAGACAAUGGGGAAACCCUGAUCUAGCCAUGCCGCGUGAUCGAUGAAGGCCUUAGGGUUGUAAAGAUCUUUCAGGUGGGAAGAUAAUGACUGUACCACCAGAAGAAGCCCCGGCUAACUCCGUG